This is a long non-coding RNA of Phyllostomus hastatus (greater spear-nosed bat), 2396 nucleotides long. RefSeq lists it as uncharacterized. The transcript is spliced from 6 exons. The record is from RefSeq and is a predicted model, not a curated record. Lineage: Eukaryota; Metazoa; Chordata; Mammalia; Chiroptera; Phyllostomidae.
UUCCGCGGAGGUAGCCCUUUCCUGCCAGCAGCGCAGCGGAAACAAUAUCUGCUGCUGGUCUGUGCUGCUGUCCACUACUACCUUGGCCCGCUGCUGCCACUCUGGCGCUGCGAAGUCUGUAACGCUGCUCCCUCUUCCCCGUCUUGGGAUGGCAAGUACCAAAAAUUCAUUCUACGAUACUCGAUGCAGCCACUAGGUGACAGUGAAUGCAAUCAAAACCCAUGCCACUGGUGAAGAAGUAUAUUGAGCCCUGCCUGCCCCAGUGAGGUUACUAGAGAAUUAGGAGAGGCUCAAAUCAGCAUCUUGUGUGUGGUUGUCAAACCAUUCUGAAGCCUUGAUAGGACAGUUGGAUGUCUUUCUCAACAUUGUAGCUAGUUGGUGUCGAAAAUGGAUUUGAAUCUAAACCAGUACUGUACUUCCUCUAGACUACAUCUAAGUCCAGGAAGGCCAUGUGAGACAGAACAUUUUUAUUCCACACUAAAAGAUUUUUAUAAUAGCCUCUGAAAUUGUGCUCCACUGAUGAAGGAAAUUUCCAUGGUGUAAAACUUUAUUGUGCAUAAAAUCACCUGGGGUGUUUGUUAAAAAUGCAGAUUCCUAGGCAGCCAGAACUUGUCAUUGGUCAAGAGCAACACUAAAGCCUACCUGUCACUAAUACUGAGGCUUUCUGGUCAGUGAGUUCCAGCAAGCCACAGUGAAUCACCAUUGCUUUGGAUGUUCUUGUGAGGCAGUUGGGAAGCCUUUGGCUAAAUUGUAAAGGAUAUCUUUGACAAGCAUUUUCAGAGAGUUCACCAGAUCUUCCAUGUGAAUGAACGUGCAGCAGGAAAGGGGUCCUCAGUGAUUAAGAUUUAGAAAGAAUUAAUCCUUCCAUUGAAAUCUCAAAAUGUGAUCUGGAUAAAGGAAUGGGUAUCUUAGUCAAGGAAGUGAUUGUUGAAUGUGGAGGAGCUGCAAUUUGCAAAUGCCUGCAGAGUUCAGAUGGGGUAUGUCAACAUAAGAAACAUUCAAACCCGUGGAAAAUUUUUGUGAAUUUAUUUGAGCCAAACUGACGACAACUGCUGAGAAGCAAAACCACAACGAAUUGAGAAAAUGCUCCGGAGAAUGGCAGUUUUGCACCUUAUUUUAUACAUCACAAUCAAAAGGGGAGGUGUAAGGGGGUUACAUGAAGUCCACUGGUGAUAGAUUAGGGAGGGGGGAGAAAGCAAAGUGGGGAAACCUCUGGGAUUGGAUAAAAGAUAAAAUGAUAGACACAUAUUUCUUACACUGGGGGGUACAACAUAGUUAACAGUCAACAAUUAACAUGAUAAGAGUAACAACAAGGUGAUUUGUGGUCUCCCCAUGGUGCUGUGCCUGUGCUUUGAGGCCCCGGUAAAAGGAAAUUUGACAUUCCAAAGGUCUGUUAGCAUAGAUGCAAAAAGUCAACGGACAGGCUCAGUUAAGGUAAAGAUUAACCUUUGUUAGAAAAAAUACCCGCCUAGGACAUGAUGACCCACCAUGAACUGCUUUUAGUUAGAAAGUUUUAAUUUCAGACCAUCUUACGUGGUUACUUUAAGUUUCUGAGUUUGUAAGGCCACUACGCAGGCCUCCCCUGAGCUAGUCAGGUUUAGUGUGGCCCCUUUUCUUCCACAGGCAGAUGUGUAAAAUGGUUCUGAUAUUUAUUUUCUUCCUUUUUCUUGAAACGCUACUUUGGGUUUCUUUUUUAUUGUUGGUUUUAUUUUGUUUUGUGUUGGGCUUUUCUUUUGUUUAUCUACUUUUGAUAGAGACACUGGAAAACAGAUUACUCUUAAAAUGAAAGUAAGAGUGUCAAUGUAAUGGUAAAGAGAAGUUGAUGCUUUUAAGAGAAAUAUAGUAGGCAGUGUUUGGGAUUGUGGUCCACUGGAACAUGCACCUUUCAUCCCAAGGAGAAGGCUUUUUACUCCUUGGCUCCUGCUGAUAGUUGCCCAAUGGAAAUACAGACCAAUAUUGACAGGAUUUCCAGCUUUCUACAAGGAACCUGAUUGUGAGCUGUUAGUUUAAUGUUUUUUUAAUGCCACAGGCCCACACAGUGUGUUUAUAAAUGCUUUUAUAAACUCAUAGCUUUUGCUUCUUUGUAAUUUUGGCAUAUUUGUAGUGUUACCUUUUUCCAAUGUGGUAUGAAACAUGGGUGUUUCAUACUCUGCCUGGACAGUAUUUAAAACUGGGUUACUGUUUUGAAUGGAGUUGUAUAGAUUAGAAUAGAAUAGAUUAGGGAAAAAUAGACUAAUAUAGAAUGUAAAUAAGAAAACACUAGCCUCUACCAGGCAAAGGGUAAGUAGUUGGUGAAAUUUUUGUCACAGCUACAUGUUUGUAUGUAUGUGUAUCUUUGGCCUAAUGUAAUUGUAUUUCUUAUUGUGGAUUAAAUGAUUUUACAAGACUUUAUGAAA